This is an RNA transcript of Liolophura sinensis, 1826 nucleotides long. It is a transcript of the gene named RNA-binding protein 1-like, with no coding region annotated. The transcript is spliced from 7 exons. The record is from RefSeq and is a predicted model, not a curated record. Lineage: Eukaryota; Metazoa; Mollusca; Polyplacophora; Chitonida; Chitonidae.
UGUGGGUAGUGGCCGACACAUUGUGUAGCGAGUGUGAGAGGGUGCAAAGCUACGACUCUCAUUUUACGACCACCAUUGCCUUAUUUUUCAGACUAAUUGGCCACUGACAUUACUACUUGGUUAAAGGAGCCGUAAGAUAAAUAUGUCUGACCGUCCAAAGGAUUGGAAGCUAGAUUGUAAAGUAUAUGUUGGAGAACUUGGUUAUGGUGCAGCAAAACAAGAAUUAGAAGAUGUCUUUAGUCGUUAUGGACGUUUGAAAAAUGUGUGGGUUGCAAGAAACCCCCCUGGAUUUGCUUUUGUGGAGUUUGAAGAUCAUAGAGAUGCUGAAGAUGCUUGUAAAGCUUUAGACGGGACGCGAAUAAAUGGACGGCGAGUUAAAGUGGAGAUGUCAAGUGGAAAAUCCCGCUGGGGCAGUCGAGGUCCUCCUGUGCGGCGAGGGUAUGGGGGUUACAGCGGUGGAGGAUAUGGAGGCAGCAGGAGACGCUCUAGGUGUCUGCCUCACCUCAACACUGUCAUCAGACCAACUGAGUCAUCAUUAUCAACACUGUUCAACUUACAAUUAAUUGGCCACCUUGUUUGACCUCAUCUUAGCCCCAUCGGCCCAGCCACCUGUUGACCUGGUGCUGGUCAGUUAGCAGUCGGUCUUUCUACGCUCCCAGCGCCAAUACUCAACUGGCUCACAGCUCCAGCCUGAUAGCCUGAUAUAUCAGCGGUGACCCAUGUAGAGAGCUGCUCUGACAACUUCAGCUCAACCCCCAUCACCUUCUCUCAGUCAGCCUAGCCUCCGCUCCAAGUGACAGCCCUUCCCUCCUCUUCAGGUCGCUCACAGUCACCAACACAACACGCUGACCCAGACUUAAAGUCCAGUCUAAACACACCUGACAAAAUCUCCCAAUAGAACACUUACUGUCCAAUAGUUUAACAGCUUGGCGGGACAGGUCCAGGUCACCCCCAGUGAGGCGUCCCCGAAGUCGUAGUAGAAGCAGAUCCAAUUCUCCUGGAAAAUACGGCGGCUGGUCUGGAGAUAAGAGAAGAUAUUGAAGAGGAAGUUGAAGCUGAUCUGUUUAGAUACUACAGUGCAAAGCCCAGUCCUUGGGCUCCUGCAGGAGGGAGCAUUGUGCAUGGAACCGACAUGUUUUUAAACAGUCAACAUUUCAUUUACCAUUAUUGCAAAUUUUGUAGACACAUGCGUGAAUUCCUUUUAUUUGUUUUAUGCAGGAUUUUUUUUUUCUUUCGAUGUGUAAAGAAUUUUAUGAGGUAAAUGUAAACAUUCAUUUUACUUGUCUAGAUUUAUCAGUGUACUUUUCUGUAGUAUAAGUUGCCUUCAAAGUGAUCAGUUGUGGCAGCAUUACAUCUAUAUGGUGCAUAAACACAUGUCCGGAAUAUUAUUAUCGAAGCUACACAAUUAACUAAAGAAAUGAUUUAUUUACCUGUGGUAAUAUUAGUCUUGAAUAGCAUGGGAACUGGAACCAUUUUUAGCAAGUGUGGAAUUCUGACACAUGAAUUUGAUAUAUAUUACAAAUGUCAUUGGAGGUUGAAAUAACAAGAAUCAGGCUGCAAGUUUAAUUUUUUUUUUUUUGAGACAGCCUGCUACUUGUUCAUCAGCUUCAUUCAUUUCUUUUGCUAUUUCUUUCAUGUACCGAACACACUGUCACAUGUGGUGCCCUACAACAUUGUUACUUGUAUAUGUAUUUUUACCUGUUUGUUGGUUGUACAGUAGAUGGAUUCCAUUCAUAAACAGAGCGCAAGUAUCCUUAGGGGUACAGUUUCUGUCUGUUGUACUAAGGCUCAUGAUGUGAAAUAAAUAUAUGAAUUGUGUCUUUUAA